UGGAUGCUUAUUGACUCUUCCAUCUCUCUU
RNAcentral lists this non-coding RNA (30 nucleotides) under Mus musculus (house mouse). The record is from RNAcentral. Lineage: Eukaryota; Metazoa; Chordata; Mammalia; Rodentia; Muridae.